CCUACGGGUGGCAGCAGUGGGGAAUAUUGGACAACGGGGGGAACCCUGAUCCAGCCAUGCCGCGUGUGUGAAGAAGGCCCUCGGGUUGUAAAGCACUUUCAGUGAGGAAGAACGCCUGGUGGUUAAUACCCAUCAGGAAAGACAUCACUCACAGAAGAAGCACCGGCUAACUCCGUGCCAGCAGCCGCGGUAAUACGGAGGGUGCGAGCGUUAAUCGGAAUUACUGGGCGUAAAGCGCGCGUAGGUGGCUUGAUAAGCCGGUUGUGAAAGCCCCGGGCUCAACCUGGGAACGGCAUCCGGAACUGUCAAGCUAGAGUGCAGGAGAGGAAGGUAGAAUUCCCGGUGUAGCGGUGAAAUGCGUAGAGAUCGGGAGGAAUACCAGUGGCGAAGGCGGCCUUCUGGACUGACACUGACACUGAGGUGCGAAAGCGUGGGUAGCAAACAGGAUUAGAUACCCGGGUAGUC
RNAcentral lists this ribosomal RNA (465 nucleotides) under Vreelandella stevensii. Its description in RNAcentral is "partial 16S ribosomal RNA". It matches the Rfam family "Bacterial small subunit ribosomal RNA", at positions 338 to 795 of the family's 1533-position model. The record is from RNAcentral. Lineage: Bacteria; Pseudomonadati; Pseudomonadota; Gammaproteobacteria; Oceanospirillales; Halomonadaceae.